RNAcentral lists this ribosomal RNA (960 nucleotides) under uncultured Enterococcus sp. RNAcentral's name for it is "bacterial SSU rRNA". It matches the Rfam family "Bacterial small subunit ribosomal RNA", at positions 1 to 868 of the family's 1533-position model. Lineage: Bacteria; Bacillati; Bacillota; Bacilli; Lactobacillales; Enterococcaceae. The record is from RNAcentral.
AGAAAGGGGAACAACUUGCUUCUUCCCCGGAUUAAAAAAAACACCCCUUUUCCGCAUUUUUGGGGGGCCCCUUAAAUUUUGUUUUGUUCAGACGAACGUUGGAGGCCCCCCUAAUACAUGCAAGUCGUACGCUUCUUUCUCCACAGGAGCGUGCUCCACCGGAAAAAGAAGAGUGUCGAAUGGGUGAGUAACACGUGGGUAACCUGCUCAUCAGAAGGGGAUAACACUUGGAAACAGGUGCUAAUACCGUAUAACAAUCGAAACCGCAUGGUUUUGAUGUGAAAGGCGCUUUCGGGUGUCGCUGACGGAUGGACCCGCGGUGCAUUAGCUAGUUGGUGAGGUAACGGCUCACCAAGGCCACGAUGCAUAGCCGACCUGAGAGGGUGAUCGGCCACAUUGGGACUGAGACACGGCCCAAACUCCUACGGGAGGCAGCAGUAGGGAAUCUUCGGCAAUGGACGAAAGUCUGACCGAGCAACGCCGCGUGAGUGAAGAAGGUUUUCGGAUCGUAAAACUCUGUUGUUAGAGAAGAACAAGGAUGAGAGUAACUGUUCAUCCCUUGACGGUAUCUAACCAGAAAGCCACGGCUAACUACGUGCCAGCAGCCGCGGUAAUACGUAGGUGGCAAGCGUUGUCCGGAUUUAUUGGGCGUAAAGCGAGCGCAGGCGGUUUCUUAAGUCUGAUGUGAAAGCCCCCGGCUCAACCGGGGAGGGUCAUUGGAAACUGGGAGACUUGAGUGCAGAAGAGGAGAGUGGAAUUCCAUGUGUAGCGGUGAAAUGCGUAGAUAUAUGGAGGAACACCAGUGGCGAAGGCGGCUCUCUGGUCUGUAACUGACGCUGAGGCUCGAAAGCGUGGGGAGCAAACAGGAUUAGAUACCCUGGUAGUCCACGCCGUAAACGAUGAGGGCUAAGUGUUGGAGGGUUUCCGCCCUUCAGUGCUGCAGCUAACGCAGUAAGCAAU